This 958-nucleotide ribosomal RNA is filed under the name uncultured bacterium. RNAcentral's name for it is "bacterial SSU rRNA". It matches the Rfam family "Bacterial small subunit ribosomal RNA", at positions 523 to 1482 of the family's 1533-position model. The record is from RNAcentral.
AUACGGAGGGUGCAAGCGUUAAUCGGAAUUACUGGGCGUAAAGCGCACGCAGGCGGUUUGUUAAGUCAGAUGUGAAAUCCCCGGGCUCAACCUGGGAACUGCAUCUGAUACUGGCAAGCUUGAGUCUCGUAGAGGGGGGUAGAAUUCCAGGUGUAGCGGUGAAAUGCGUAGAGAUCUGGAGGAAUACCGGUGGCGAAGGCGGCCCCCUGGACGAAGACUGACGCUCAGGUGCGAAAGCGUGGGGAGCAAACAGGAUUAGAUACCCUGGUAGUCCACGCCGUAAACGAUGUCGACUUGGAGGUUGUGCCCUUGAGGCGUGGCUUCCGGAGCUAACGCGUUAAGUCGACCGCCUGGGGAGUACGGCCGCAAGGUUAAAACUCAAAUGAAUUGACGGGGGCCCGCACAAGCGGUGGAGCAUGUGGUUUAAUUCGAUGCAACGCGAAGAACCUUACCUGGUCUUGACAUCCACGGAAGUUUUCAGAGAUGAGAAUGUGCCUUCGGGAACCGUGAGACAGGUGCUGCAUGGCUGUCGUCAGCUCGUGUUGUGAAAUGUUGGGUUAAGUCCCGCAACGAGCGCAACCCUUAUCCUUUGUUGCCAGCGGUCCGGCCGGGAACUCAAAGGAGACUGCCAGUGAUAAACUGGAGGAAGGUGGGAUGACGUCAAGUCAUCAUGGCCCUUACGACCAGGGCUACACACGUGCUACAAUGGCGCAUACAAAGAGAAGCGACCUCGCGAGAGCAAGCGGACCUCAUAAAGUGCGUCGUAGUCCGGAUUGGAGUCUGCAACUCGACUCCAUGAAGUCGGAAUCGCUAGUAAUCGUGGAUCAGAAUGCCACGGUGAAUACGUUCCCGGGCCUUGUACACACCGCCCGUCACACCAUGGGAGUGGGUUGCAAAAGAAGUAGGUAGCUUAACCUUCGGGAGGGCGCUUACCACUUUGUGAUUCAUGACUGGGGUG